AGUGAACGCUGGCGGUAGGCCUAACACAUGCAAGUCGAACGGCAGCACAGUAAGAGCUUGCUCUUACGGGUGGCGAGUGGCGGACGGGUGAGGAAUACAUCGGAAUCUACUUUUUCGUGGGGGAUAACGUAGGGAAACUUACGCUAAUACCGCAUACGACCUACGGGUGAAAGCAGGGGAUCUUCGGACCUUGCGCGAUUGAAUGAGCCGAUGUCGGAUUAGCUAGUUGGCGGGGUACAGGCCCACCAAGGCGACGAUCCGUAGCUGGUCUGAGAGGAUGGUCAGCCACACUGGAACUGAGACACGGUCCAGACUCCUACGGGAGGCAGCAGUGGGGAAUAUUGGACAAUGGGCGCAAGCCUGAUCCAGCCAUACCGCGUGGGUGAAGAAGGCCUUCGGGUUGUAAAGCCCUUUUGUUGGGAAAGAAAAGCAGCAGGUUAAUACCCCGCUGUUCUGACGGUACCCAAAGAAUAAGCACCGGCUAACUUCGUGC
RNAcentral lists this ribosomal RNA (493 nucleotides) under uncultured bacterium. RNAcentral's name for it is "partial 16S ribosomal RNA". It matches the Rfam family "Bacterial small subunit ribosomal RNA", at positions 29 to 508 of the family's 1533-position model. The record is from RNAcentral.